GCCAGUGUGGCAUAGUGGUUUGUCCGUUGGACUACAACUCUGGAGCCCAGGGUUCAAUUUCCUGCUCAGUCA
Phrynosoma platyrhinos (Desert horned lizard) is the source of this 72-nucleotide non-coding RNA. NCBI's taxonomy places the organism in Eukaryota, Metazoa, Chordata, Lepidosauria, Squamata, Phrynosomatidae. The record is from the annotation of a GenBank genome assembly.